UGGGGAAUUUUGGACAAUGGGGGAAACCCUGAUCCAGCCAUCCCGCGUGUGCGAUGAAGGCCUUCGGGUUGUAAAGCACUUUUGGCAGGAAAGAAACGUCGCGGGUUAAUACCCCGCGAAACUGACGGUACCUGCAGAAUAAGCACCGGCUAACUACGUGCCAGCAGCCGCGGUAAUACGUAGGGUGCAAGCGUUAAUCGGAAUUACUGGGCGUAAAGCGUGCGCAGGCGGUUCGGAAAGAAAGAUGUGAAAUCCCAGAGCUUAACUUUGGAACUGCAUUUUUAACUACCGGGCUAGAGUGUGUCAGAGGGAGGUGGAAUUCCGCGUGUAGCAGUGAAAUGCGUAGAUAUGCGGAGGAACACCGAUGGCGAAGGCAGCCUCCUGGGAUAACACUGACGCUCAUGCACGAAAAGCGUGGGGAGCAAAACAGGAUUAGAUACCCUGGUAGUCCACGCCCUAAAACGAUGUCAACUAGCUGUUGGGGGCCUUCGGGCCUUGGUAGCGCAGCUAACGCGUGAAGUUGACCGCCUGGGGAGUACGGUCGC
RNAcentral lists this ribosomal RNA (545 nucleotides) under uncultured bacterium. Its description in RNAcentral is "partial 16S ribosomal RNA". It matches the Rfam family "Bacterial small subunit ribosomal RNA", at positions 355 to 889 of the family's 1533-position model. The record is from RNAcentral.